Long non-coding RNA from Hypanus sabinus (Atlantic stingray), 320 nucleotides. RefSeq lists it as uncharacterized. NCBI's taxonomy places the organism in Eukaryota, Metazoa, Chordata, Chondrichthyes, Myliobatiformes, Dasyatidae. The record is from RefSeq and is a predicted model, not a curated record. The transcript is spliced from 3 exons.
CGCCGUCGGUCCACCCUCCACUCAGCGAGUACAUGACCUCCAAGUAACCCGUCCCAGUGAGGCCUUGUGUCCGUACUCUCCGGAAUUCGUUGCCACAGGCGGCCGUGGAGGUCGAGUCAUUGAUGAUUCAUCAGCCAAUUUUAAAAAGUAAAGCUAAAGAUGUACCAUACCAAAUUGAGCACACAAUCCAAUCUGAGACAUCAGUAUAAUGCCGGUAAAGGUCUGCAGCAUCAGGAUGGCAACUUCCAGGUUCUGACAGGUCAGUCCAUUGCCUCUUCUUAUGCCAACAUGAGGCUACCAUUAGGGUGGAGGAGCAACAC